This is a long non-coding RNA of Corvus hawaiiensis (hawaiian crow), 430 nucleotides long. RefSeq lists it as uncharacterized. NCBI's taxonomy places the organism in Eukaryota, Metazoa, Chordata, Aves, Passeriformes, Corvidae. The record is from RefSeq and is a predicted model, not a curated record. The transcript has 3 exons.
GUUGGAAGCACAGUGUUUGUUUACCACACUGCCCCUGGGUUUGCCUCUGGCUUGUUCUUCCUGGGGGAGAGGCAGUGGAUCUGCUGCUGGUUCCUAAAACACUGACAUCUGUGAUGGCCUUCUGUAGUGAAACCAUUUUCCUAGCAGUAGCAUCAGGCUCUUCUUUACACUUUUCCCUUAUCAGCACAUCGUGCAGUGUGUACGCAGUGUCUCGGUGCAGCCGGGUCUACUGCAGCUGCAACAGGAGAAGCUUCUCUUGCCUUUUACGUGAUGCUUCAUAAAAGACAGUAGCUCUUGAACCUGGAGUGAGCCAGAGAGCAUUAUUUCUGAGGUCCUCAGUAAUAAUGCACACACCAUCCUCCACAGAUAAGAAAAUAAUGUCAUUGCCAGGUUAGCUGUUGCUUGAGAAAUACAGAAUCCUAUUCCUGAA